AUACGGAGGGUCCAAGCGUUAUCCGGAUUUAUUGGGAUUAAAGGGUGCGCAGGCGGAAUGAUAAGUUAGUGGUGAAAUCCCGAGGCUCAACUUCGGAACUGCCAUUAAUACUAUCAUUCUUGAAUUCGGUUGAAGUGGGCGGAAUGUAGCAUGUAGCGGUGAAAUGCAUAGCGAUGCUACAGAACACCGAUCGCGAAGGCAGCUCACUAAGCCGAGAUUGACGCUCAGGCACGAAAGCGUGGGGAGCGAACAGGAUUAGAAACCCGAGUAGUCC
RNAcentral lists this ribosomal RNA (274 nucleotides) under uncultured bacterium. Its description in RNAcentral is "partial 16S ribosomal RNA". It matches the Rfam family "Bacterial small subunit ribosomal RNA", at positions 523 to 796 of the family's 1533-position model. The record is from RNAcentral.